This 450-nucleotide ribosomal RNA is filed under the name uncultured bacterium. Its description in RNAcentral is "bacterial SSU rRNA". It matches the Rfam family "Bacterial small subunit ribosomal RNA", at positions 328 to 793 of the family's 1533-position model. The record is from RNAcentral.
CUCCGUGACUCCUACGGGAGGCAGCAGUGGGGAAUAUUGCACAAUGGGCGCAAGCCUGAUGCAGCAACGCCGUGUGAGUGAAGAAGGUUUUCGGAUCGUAAAACUCUGUCCUAAGGGAAGAAACAAAUGACGGUACCUUAGGAGGAAGCCCCGGCUAACUACGUGCCAGCAGCCGCGGUAAUACGUAGGGGGCAAGCGUUAUCCGGAAUCACUGGGCGUAAAGGGUGCGUAGGCGGCUUAGCAAGCCAGGGGUGAAAGGCAUUGGCUCAACCAAUGUAAGCCUUUGGAACUGUUAAGCUUGAGUGCAGGAGAGGUAAGUGGAAUUCCUAGUGUAGAGGUGAAAUUCGUAGAUAUUAGGAGGAACACCAGUGGCGAAGGCGACUUACUGGACUGUAACUGACGCUGAUGCACGAAAGCGUGGGUAGCGAACAGGAUUAGAUACCCUGGUAG